GAACCUUCCUCAUCCUUUCAGACUACAAAUAACGCUUGUCCCAAUCCUUCUUUCCAGGAUUUAUUGCAAUUGGUGCGGGAAGAACAAAUGAACCCUCGCAGAAACAACCUCCAGUAGAUAAUGAUACGAAUGAUAUAGUCCCUUUGCAGCUGCCAUACGAACAAUCAAGUGUGAUUUUGAACUGUUCCACAUGAUUUUUACCAUUGUAUCACCUUGGGCCACCACUGAAUCUACGGUCACCCACGACAUUGCUGUUCGGAUUUUUCGAUUAAUGGAUGCUGAUGAUGAUGGUUAUUUGAACUUCCGCGAAUUAGUCAGUUGUCUGGGCUUAACUUGUUCGGCAUCAGCAGAAAGGAGACUGAAGUUGCUGUACAUAUCCACUUACCGCCUCUUCUUUCGAAGCUAGACAUCGGAUCAACUCGUUCCUUAUUUUCAGAUUCUGACACUGAUGUAGCCUCCGAAGCUGUUGAAUUCUUCAAUGACCAGUAUUCAGAACAAAAGAUAAACACUACAACUUUAACAACCAUUCCUGAACAAACAAACAAUUCAAUGCAACAGUAUUCAUCAGGUAUGACUUUCCAUUGUAUGAUGAAGUCAGACGCUUACUCGCCACUAAAUCAUCCCAUCCUUGAGUAACAAAUUUUCAUCGCCAAAAAACUUAAAAAUGAUAACACUACUCAGGGGGUGUUCGAUAAAAAUGUUGGUACAAUAACACCCAUAACUGUUUGAAAAAAAAAAAUAAGAAGCUUUAAAGUUAACAGUUCAAAAAACCUAGCUUUAAAGAAAUUGCAUGACAAAACUGACCAUAGUACUUGAAUAUUCAAAAUUGAAGUAUUGGUAUCAUCGCUUUUAGUUUUUUCCCCCAUGAGAGGAAAGUUUUUUUUAAAAUUUGGCACAAAAAUUCUCCACAAUGUUGAACCAAAGCAGAGCAACAACUGUGUAAGGUUUGCAGUCCAUAA
RNAcentral lists this long non-coding RNA (959 nucleotides) under Bemisia tabaci. RNAcentral's name for it is "lncRNA ENSSSA3NGG014402". The record is from RNAcentral. Lineage: Eukaryota; Metazoa; Arthropoda; Insecta; Hemiptera; Aleyrodidae.